This 497-nucleotide ribosomal RNA is filed under the name uncultured bacterium. RNAcentral's name for it is "partial 16S ribosomal RNA". It matches the Rfam family "Bacterial small subunit ribosomal RNA", at positions 28 to 507 of the family's 1533-position model. The record is from RNAcentral.
GAUGAACGCUGGCGGCGUGCCUAAUACAUGCCAGUCGAGCGAACAGACGAGGAGCUUGCUCCUCUGACGUUAGCGGCGGACGGGUGAGUAACACGUGGAUAACCUACCUAUAAGACUGGGAUAACUUCGGGAAACCGGAGCUAAUACCGGGUAAUAUAUUGAACCGCGUGGUUCAAUAGUGAAAGACGGUUUUGCUGUCACUUAUAGAUGGAUCCGCGCCGCAUUAGCUAGUUGGUAAGGUAACGGCUUACCAAGGCAACGAUGCGUAGCCGACCUGAGAGGGUGAUCGGCCACACUGGAACUGAGACACGGUCCAGACUCCUACGGGAGGCAGCAGUAGGGAAUCUUCCGCAAUGGGCGAAAGCCUGACGGAGCAACGCCGCGUGAGUGAUGAAGGUCUUCGGAUCGUAAAACUCUGUUAUUAGGGAAGAACAAAUGUGUAAGUAACUAUGCACGUCUUGACGGUACCUAAUCAGAAAGCCACGGCUAACUACGUG